UAUGAACCGUUAUAACCGGCGAUUUCCGAAUGGGGAAACCCAGUGUGAUUCGUCACACUAUCAUUAACUGAAUCCAUAGGUUAAUGAGGCGAACCGGGGGAACUGAAACAUCUAAGUACCCCGAGGAAAAGAAAUCAACCGAGAUUCCCCCAGUAGCGGCGAGCGAACGGGGAGGAGCCCAGAGCCUGAAUCAGUGUGUGUGUUAGUGGAAGCGUCUGGAAAGGCGCGCGAUACAGGGUGACAGCCCCGUACACAAAAAUGCACAUGCUGUGAGCUCGAUGAGUAGGGCGGGACACGUGGUAUCCUGUCUGAAUAUGGGGGGACCAUCCUCCAAGGCUAAAUACUCCUG
This 349-nucleotide ribosomal RNA is filed under the name Escherichia coli. RNAcentral describes it as "partial 23S ribosomal RNA". It matches the Rfam family "Bacterial large subunit ribosomal RNA", at positions 89 to 478 of the family's 2925-position model. Lineage: Bacteria; Pseudomonadati; Pseudomonadota; Gammaproteobacteria; Enterobacterales; Enterobacteriaceae. The record is from RNAcentral.